This 604-nucleotide ribosomal RNA is filed under the name Staphylococcus epidermidis. RNAcentral describes it as "bacterial SSU rRNA". It matches the Rfam family "Bacterial small subunit ribosomal RNA", at positions 1 to 587 of the family's 1533-position model. Lineage: Bacteria; Bacillati; Bacillota; Bacilli; Caryophanales; Staphylococcaceae. The record is from RNAcentral.
UUUAUGGAGAGUUUGAUCCUGGCUCAGGAUGAACGCUGGCGGCGUGCCUAAUACAUGCAAGUCGAGCGAACAGACGAGGAGCUUGCUCCUCUGACGUUAGCGGCGGACGGGUGAGUAACACGUGGAUAACCUACCUAUAAGACUGGGAUAACUUCGGGAAACCGGAGCUAAUACCGGAUAAUAUAUUGAACCGCAUGGUUCAAUAGUGAAAGACGGUUUUGCUGUCACUUAUAGAUGGAUCCGCGCCGCAUUAGCUAGUUGGUAAGGUAACGGUUUACCAAGGCAACGAUGCGUAGCCGACCUGAGAGGGUGAUCGGCCACACUGGAACUGAGACACGGUCCAGACUCCUACGGGAGGCAGCAGUAGGGAAUCUUCCGCAAUGGGCGAAAGCCUGACGGAGCAACGCCGCGUGAGUGAUGAAGGUCUUCGGAUCGUAAAACUCUGUUAUUAGGGAAGAACAAAUGUGUAAGUAACUAUGCACGUCUUGACGGUACCUAAUCAGAAAGCCACGGCUAACUACGUGCCAGCAGCCGCGGUAAUACGUAGGUGGCAAGCGUUAUCCGGAAUUAUUGGGCGUAAAGCGCGCGUAGGCGGUUUUUUAAG